GAUGAACGCUGGCGGCGUGCUUAACACAUGCAAGUCGAACGGAAAGGCCCUGCUCUUGUGGGGUGCUCGAGUGGCGAACGGGUGAGUAACACGCGAGUAACCUGCCCUUGACUUUGGGAUAACUUCAGGAAACUGGGGCUAAUACCGGAUAGGAGCUCCUGCUGCACGGGGGGGGUUGGAAAGUGACGGCGGUUGGGGAUGUACUCGCGGGUUAUCCGCUUGUUUGUGUGGUAGUGGCUUCCCAAGGGUUUGACGGGUAGCCGGCCUGGGAGGGUGACCGGGCUCAUGGGGCCUGAGGUAGGGACCAGAAUGCAACGGGCGGCAGCAGGGGGAAACAUUGCAGAGUGGGGGGAAGCCUGAUACGGAAACCCCGCGUGCGGAAUGACGGCCUUCGGGUUGUAAACCAAUUUCGCCUGUAACGAAGCGUGAGUGACGGUAAUGGGUAAAGAAGCACCGGCUAACUACGUG
This 468-nucleotide ribosomal RNA is filed under the name uncultured bacterium. RNAcentral describes it as "partial 16S ribosomal RNA". It matches the Rfam family "Bacterial small subunit ribosomal RNA", at positions 28 to 507 of the family's 1533-position model. The record is from RNAcentral.